This 75-nucleotide transfer RNA is filed under the name Schistocerca americana (American grasshopper). Its description in RNAcentral is "tRNA-Ser". It matches the Rfam family "tRNA". From Rfam's summary of the family: Transfer RNA (tRNA) molecules are approximately 80 nucleotides in length. Their secondary structure includes four short double-helical elements and three loops (D, anti-codon, and T loops). Lineage: Eukaryota; Metazoa; Arthropoda; Insecta; Orthoptera; Acrididae. The record is from RNAcentral.
GCCUGAGUGGCCGAGCGGUUCUAGGCGCUUUAGUCUGGAACGCUAGGGUCGCAGGUUCGAAUCCUGCCUCGGGCA